RNAcentral lists this long non-coding RNA (661 nucleotides) under Physcomitrium patens. Its description in RNAcentral is "long non-coding RNA (PPAT_LNC004169)". The record is from RNAcentral. Lineage: Eukaryota; Viridiplantae; Streptophyta; Bryopsida; Funariales; Funariaceae.
CAAGCCUUAAAAUCCAAAGAACACCAAAAUACUUGAUAAGGUGUUAUAAAAAACUUAUAUAUCCUUAUGAGGAAUUUUUUCCGAAGUUCAACAGCUCAUAACUUACGAUCUAACCGUCUAAACAACUCCAAAUUUUACACGGAGUACUGAUAUAUCUUUAGCAACUACCACACCAAAGUUCAACCGUAAAUUCGUCUUGGAUCUUGUGAUAUCUUGAAAACCCUAACUGUAGCUUCAAACCCUAGCUUUUUUACACCCGUGUACAACUUCCUUCAUAUCUCACAAAGUAAUUAUUCAAAUACUAUGAAACUUUGAUCUAAAGCUUCUUAACCCAAUUGCACACACUUGUGGAAAUUUUGAGCCAAAAAUUCGUCCAGAAACUCAAGAUAUGGCUUCACCCAUAACUAGCAACAAAACGAUAUACUUACUGCCUUCAAUUUACAAGUGCUGUCUUCAACGCCUCAUAACUCCUUCACCCAAUCUUAGAAUUCACUAUAUAGUAAGUAGAAUGUGUAGCCGAGAAAAUGCUCCCUCCAAAUCCAGUCGCCGAUCUUCCGUUGCUCUCCGAAUUCGUAUGUGAUGCCCAAAAGAAGUGACAGUAGGUACGAAAUUGACACCUUAUCUUUGAACAUUCAUAUCUUUUCCAUAAAAACUCGAAAUC